Molecule: ribosomal RNA, 429 nt
Filed under: Fusobacteriota bacterium
Lineage: Bacteria; Fusobacteriati; Fusobacteriota
Description: Fusobacteria bacterium partial 16S ribosomal RNA
Rfam family: Bacterial small subunit ribosomal RNA
Source: RNAcentral
UGGGGAAUAUUGCGCAAUGGGCGAAAGCCUGACGCAGCGACGCCGCGUGAGGGAUGAAGGUUUUCGGAUCGUAAACCUCUGUCAGAAGGGAAGAAACCGCACUGUGCUAAUCAGCAGUGCCUUGACGGUACCUUCAAAGGAAGCACCGGCUAACUUCGUGCCAGCAGCCGCGGUAAUACGGAGGGUGCAAGCGUUAAUCGGAAUUACUGGGCGUAAAGCGCACGUAGGCUGCUUUGUAAGUCAGGGGUGAAAUCCCACGGCUCAACCGUGGAACUGCCUUUGAUACUGCUUAGCUUGAAUCCGGGAGAGGGUGGCGGAAUUCCAGGUGUAGGAGUGAAAUCCGUAGAUAUCUGGAGGAACAUCAGUGGCGAAGGCGGCCACCUGGACCGGUAUUGACGCUGAGGUGCGAAAGCGUGGGGAGCAAACAGG